This 573-nucleotide ribosomal RNA is filed under the name Trichoderma asperellum. Its description in RNAcentral is "eukaryotic LSU rRNA". The stretch from base 184 to 337 matches the Rfam family "5.8S ribosomal RNA". Lineage: Eukaryota; Fungi; Ascomycota; Sordariomycetes; Hypocreales; Hypocreaceae. The record is from RNAcentral.
CCGAGUUUACAACUCCCAAACCCAAUGUGAACGUUACCAAACUGUUGCCUCGGCGGGGUCACGCCCCGGGUGCGUCGCAGCCCCGGAACCAGGCGCCCGCCGGAGGAACCAACCAAACUCUUUCUGUAGUCCCCUCGCGGACGUAUUUCUUACAGCUCUGAGCAAAAAUUCAAAAUGAAUCAAAACUUUCAACAACGGAUCUCUUGGUUCUGGCAUCGAUGAAGAACGCAGCGAAAUGCGAUAAGUAAUGUGAAUUGCAGAAUUCAGUGAAUCAUCGAAUCUUUGAACGCACAUUGCGCCCGCCAGUAUUCUGGCGGGCAUGCCUGUCCGAGCGUCAUUUCAACCCUCGAACCCCUCCGGGGGAUCGGCGUUGGGGAUCGGGACCCCUCACACGGGUGCCGGCCCCGAAAUACAGUGGCGGUCUCGCCGCAGCCUCUCCUGCGCAGUAGUUUGCACAACUCGCACCGGGAGCGCGGCGCGUCCACGUCCGUAAAACACCCAACUUUCUGAAAUGUUGACCUCGGAUCAGGUAGGAAUACCCGCUGAACUUAAGCAUAUCAAUAAGCGGAGGAA